UUUUAGCUCACCUGUCACAAAGUGACAGGGUGAGCUUUUGUGAACGCUUUUCGUCCGUCGUCCGUCCAUCGUCCGUCCGUAAACUUUUACUUUAAAUGACAUCUCCUCAUAAACCACUAAGCCAAUUUCAUCCAAACUUCACAGGAAUGUUCCUUUGGUGGUCACCUUUAAAAAUUGUUUAAAGAAUUUAAUUCCAUGCAGAACUCUGGUUGCCAUGGCAACCGAAAGAAAAAACUUUAAAUAUCUUCUUUUAAAAAACCCAAAGAGCUAGAGCUUAGAUAUUUGGCAUGAAACAUCUUCUAGUGAAUGUCUACCAAGUUUGUUCAAAUAAAAGCCCUGGGGUCAAAAUUGGCCCCGCCCCAGGGGGUCAUUGAUUUUCCCUAUAUGCAUAUAGUAAAAACUUAAAAAAUCUUCUUUUAAAGAACCCAAAGAGCUAGAGCUAAGAUAUUUAGCAUGAAACAUGUUCUAAUGAGUGUCUACCAAGUUUGUUCAAAUAAAAGCCAUGGGGUCAAAAUUGGCCCCGCCCCAGGGGGUCAUUGAUUUUCCCUAUAUGCAUAUAGUAAAAACUUAAAAAAUCUUCUUUUAAAGAACCAAAAGAGCUAGAGCUUAGAUAUUUGGCAUGAAACAUCUUCUAGUGAGUGUCUACCAACAUUGUUCAAAUAAAAGCCCUGGGGUCAAAAUUAGCCCCGCCCCAGGGGGUCAUUGAUUUUCCCUAUAUGCAUAUAGUAAAAACUUAAAAAAUCUUUUUUUAAAGAACCCAAAGAGCUAGAGCUAAGAUAUUUAGCAUGAAACAUCUUCUAAUGAGUGUCUACCAAGUUUGUUCAAAUAAAAGCCCUGGGGUCAAAAUUGGCCCCGCCCCAGGGGGUCAUUGAUUUUCCCUUUAUGCAUAUAGUAAUAAUAUAAAAAUCUUCUUUUAAAGAACUCAUGGAGCUAGGGCUAAGAUAUUUAGCAUGAAACAUGUUCUAAUGGGUGUCUACCAAGUUUGUUCAAAUAAAAGCCCUGGGGUCAAAAUUGGCCCCGCCCCAGGGGGUCAUUGAUUUUCCCUAUAUGUAUAUAGUAAAAACUUAAAAAAUCUUCUUUUAAAGAACUCAAAGAGCUAGAGCUAAGAUAUUUAGCAUGAAACAUGUUCUAAUGGGUGUCUACCAAGUUUGUUCAAAUAAAAGCCCUGGGGUCAAAAUUGGCCCCGCCCCAGGGGGUCAUUGAUUUUCCCUAUAUGUAUAUAGUAAAAACUUAAAAAAUCUUCUUUUAAAGAACUCAAAGAGCUAGAGCUAAGAUAUUUAGCAUGAAACAUGUUCUAAUGGGUGUCUACCAAGUUUGUUCAAAUAAAAGCCCUGGGGUCAAAAUUGGCCCCGCCCCAGGGGGUCAUUGAUUUUCCUUAUAUAUGUGUAUAGCAAAAACUUAAAAAGUAUUCUUUGAAAAAAUCUAAAUAGCUAGAGUUAAGAUAUUAAGCAUGAAACAUCUUCUAGUGAGUGUCUACAAAGUUUGUUCAAAUAAAAGCCCUGGGGUCAAAAUUGGCCCUGCCCUGGGGGUCAUUGAUUUUCCUUAUAUGUGUAUAGGAAAAACUUAAAAAACAUCUUUGAAAAAACCCAAAUAGCUAGAGUUUAGAUAUUAAGCAUGAAACAUGUUCUAGUAAGUGUCUACAAAGUUUGUUCAAAUAAAAGCCCUGGGGUCAAAACUGGCCCCGCCCCAGGGGUGUCAUUGUUUUUAACUAUAUGUGUA
Molecule: long non-coding RNA, 1719 nt
Organism: Ruditapes philippinarum (Manila clam)
Lineage: Eukaryota; Metazoa; Mollusca; Bivalvia; Venerida; Veneridae
Exons: 2
Source: RefSeq, a predicted model, not a curated record